Molecule: ribosomal RNA, 470 nt
Filed under: uncultured bacterium
Lineage: Bacteria
Description: bacterial SSU rRNA
Rfam family: Bacterial small subunit ribosomal RNA
Source: RNAcentral
ACGAACGCUGGCGGCAAGUCUAAGGCAUGCAAGUCGAACGGUCAUAUCUGUUUAGCAAUAAAUAAAUUUGAUAGUGGCAAACGGGAGCGGAACACAUUGGUAACCUACCUCGAGCUCGUGAAUAACUCACCGAAAGGUGAAUUAAUACGCGAUAUGGAUGGGGGGACUUCGGUCAUUCCCAUUGAAAGUUUUAACGGCACGAGAGGGGCCUAUGGCCUAUCAGCUAGUUGGUGCGGGUAAAGGCCCACCAAGGCUAUGACGGGUACCGGGCGCGAGAGCGUGGCCCGGCUCACUGGGACUGAGACACGGCCCAGACACCUACGGGUGGCUGCAGUCAAGAAUAUUCCUCAAUGCACGAAAGUGUGAAGGAGCUAUGCCGCGUGCCAGACGAAGGCCUUCGGGUCGUAAAUGGCUUUUAUAAGGGACGAACAAAUGACGGUACCUUAUGAAUAAGGGGCUGCUAAUCACGU